CGAGCGGGCCCUUCGGGGUAGCGGCGGACGGGUGAGUAACGCGUGGGAACGUGCCUUCUGGUUCGGAAUAACCCUGGGAAACUAGGGCUAAUACCGGAUACGCCCUUUUGGGGAAAGGUUUACUGCCGGAAGAUCGGCCCGCGUCUGAUUAGCUAGUUGGUGGGGUAACGGCCUACCAAGGCGACGAUCAGUAGCUGGUCUGAGAGGAUGAUCAGCCACACUGGGACUGAGACACGGCCCAGACUCCUACGGGAGGCAGCAGUGGGGAAUAUUGGACAAUGGGCGCAAGCCUGAUCCAGCCAUGCCGCGUGAGUGAUGAAGGCCUUAGGGUUGUAAAGCUCUUUUAUCCGGGACGAUAAUGACGGUACCGGAGGAAUAAGCCCCGGCUAACUUCGUGCCAGCAGCCGCGGUAAUACGAAGGGGGCUAGCGUUGCUCGGAAUCACUGGGCGUAAAGGGCGCGUAGGCGGCGUUUUAAGUCGGGGGUGAA
RNAcentral lists this ribosomal RNA (488 nucleotides) under bacterium C60I_16. Its description in RNAcentral is "bacterial SSU rRNA". It matches the Rfam family "Bacterial small subunit ribosomal RNA", at positions 63 to 598 of the family's 1533-position model. The record is from RNAcentral.